UUAGAGUUCGAUUUUGGCUCAGGAUGAACGCUAGCGGCAGGCUUAACACAUGCAAGUCGAGGGGCAGCAUGUCCAGCAAUGGAUGAUGGCGACCGGCGGAAGGGUGCGUAACGCGUGAGCAACAUGCCCUAUACAGGGAGAUACACCAGGGAAACUUGGUCUAAUAUCCCAUAGCAUUCAUUGAAGGCAUCUUUAAUGAAUUAAAGCUUCGGUGGUAUAGGAUUGGCUCGCGUGACAUUAGCCAGAUGGUGAGGUAACGGCUCACCAUAGCAAUGAUGUCUAGGGGUUUUGAGAGGAAGGCCCCCCACACUGGGACUGAGACACGGCCCAGACUCCUACGGGAGGCAGCAGUGAGGAAUAUUGGACAAUGGAUGGAAAUCUGAUCCAGCCAUGCCGCGUGCAGGAAGACGGCCUUAUGGGUUGUAAACUGCUUUUAUACGGGAGCAAUAAGGGUUACGAGUAAUCCGAUGAGAGUACUGUAUGAAUAAGGAUCGGCUAACUCCGUGCCAGCAGCCGCGGUAAUACGGAGGAUCCGAGCGUUAUCCGGAAUUAUUGGGUUUAAAGGGUGCGUAGGCGGCCAUUUAAGUCAGCGGUGAAAUUUUGCAGCUUAACUGUAACAGUGCCGUUGAUACUGUUUGGCUAGGAUUUGGUUGUAGUGUGCGGAAUGUGUGGUGUAGCGGUGAAAUGCUUAGAUAUCACACAGAACACCGAUUGCGAAGGCAGCACACUAAGUCAUUAUUGACGCUGAGGCACGAAAGUGUGGGGAUCAAACAGGAUUAGAUACCCUGGUAGUCCACACUUAAACGAUAAUAACUCGCUGUCGGCGAUACACAGUC
RNAcentral lists this ribosomal RNA (836 nucleotides) under uncultured bacterium. RNAcentral describes it as "bacterial SSU rRNA". It matches the Rfam family "Bacterial small subunit ribosomal RNA", at positions 1 to 838 of the family's 1533-position model. The record is from RNAcentral.